GAUGAACGCUAGCGGCAGGCUUAAUACAUGCAAGUCGUGGGGCAGCGCAGUGUAGCAAUACAUGGGCGGCGACCGGCAAACGGGUGCGGAACACGUACGCAACCUUCCUUUAACUGGAGAAUAGCCCCUCGAAAGAGGGAUUAAUACUCCGUAACAUAUACAUGUGGCAUCACAAGUAUAUUAUAGCUCCGGCGGUUAAAGAUGGGCGUGCGCCUGAUUAGAUAGUUGGCGGGGUAACGGCCCACCAAGUCUGCGAUCAGUAACUGGUGUGAGAGCACGACCAGUCACCACGGGGCACUGAGACACGGGCCCGACUCCUACGGGAGGCAGCAGUAAGGAUA
RNAcentral lists this ribosomal RNA (341 nucleotides) under uncultured bacterium. RNAcentral describes it as "bacterial SSU rRNA". It matches the Rfam family "Bacterial small subunit ribosomal RNA", at positions 28 to 362 of the family's 1533-position model. The record is from RNAcentral.